RNAcentral lists this long non-coding RNA (1680 nucleotides) under Nicotiana tabacum (common tobacco). RNAcentral describes it as "long non-coding RNA (NTAB_LNC012893)". Lineage: Eukaryota; Viridiplantae; Streptophyta; Magnoliopsida; Solanales; Solanaceae. The record is from RNAcentral.
AACUGCAUUUCCACUUCAUGAAGGAAUUACAUUAAGUCAGUCUUGAGUUUGUACCUGGAAUUUGAAUAAAAAGUGAAGGAGAAGAGGUCAAGUUAAGGCAAACAGACGAGCAGCAACAACAAUAACAAUUUCCAGCAGUAUAGAACGACGAGCAGCCGAGGAAUGGAUUCAGAAAUCCAGAAAUAUUCAACAAUCAGACAUAAACUAACAAAUCCACCCAAAGACCACUUGAAAUGCACUCAAAUAAGCUCGAAAUGCACCAGAAUACUUCAGCAAAUCCAAAACUCAUCCAAAACCAGUUUAAACAGACCCAAAAUUGCUCGAAAUCAAACAAGAGAACAUUUGAAGUUUCAAAAUCCAAGUAUUGAACUAGAAGAAUGGAGAUCAACAACUAAAAGUCAAAAUUAACCUGAAUUGUCUAAUGGAACAGUACUUUUUUUUGGAUUUUUUAAGGUUUUCUAUUGUUUUUUGUUUUUCCUUUGAAGAAAGCUAAGCUAAAGGGGUUUUGGAUUUGAAAUUUUGAAUUUCAGAUCAGUGAGGCUAGAGGAGUAUUUUUGGGAGGAAUUUUUAGAGAUCAAAACUUGGGAAUGACGGCAUUGAACAUGACCUUUUAUAGGCACAAAUGGGGUUCUAUCAGAUUUUUAGACUUUACAAAUUAGCCCUUCCUUAUUUUCAGUUUGGUCCAUCUAUUUUUGACUGGCUAAGCAAGCAAAUACCUAUAUAGUGCUACCAUCUACACUAAUGUACCCUUCUAGAAGGCCCUAGGGUGCUCUUUUAGCUAGGAAAUUCCUUUACUACCCUUACCUCUGUUUUGAAAUUACUAUUCCUAAAGAAACUACCCUUUUCCAUCCCUAAAAUGCCCUUCCAAUAGUCUGAAAAUUGCAGACUGGAAUCGAUUGAUCCCAAUCCCUUACCCUGGCUAGAAUUUAAUUAAAGUUAGCCAAAACAAAAGAUUUUGUUCACCUAUAACCAACCAGGUUCACCUCUAAUGCAAAAUAUUCAAGCUGAAUCAUACUACCAAUUAAUCCUAAUGCACAUUCUACCAAGCCAAUAAUCACAUGAAAGUAAUCAUCAACAAUGAGAAUAGACUAAGCUAACAACUAAUCACGGAAUCAUCAAUCCAUAAGCAAGAAACAGACAAAAGAGAAGAAUAGAACAAAGGCCUGGAAAAAUCAGAACAAGAAUCCAUAUAUGCAUUGAAUUAACAUUGAUACCACUACAUUCAACUAAUAAAUCCUAUUAUUCAUGAAUGACACUAAAGUACGAUCAAUAAACUACUAAUCCAACUAACUAAUUAAACUAACGAUGAUUCAGAGCUUAGGUCCUACUGUUAAUUGAAACAGCUAAACUGUUAAAGCAUAGAAACACGAACUAAUUUAACCUAAUAAAAUUAGACUAAAAAAAGUAAAAAUCAAAAUUAACCAUGGACAAUUUCCACAAUCGAUCAAAUCAAAUAGAGAAGAAGAAGAGACUGUUAGGCUACACUGAUGGAAAUCGAGCUUAGAAAGUUGGAGAGAAACUCACCGACGGAGAGAAAACUCCGGUCAACCACUGCCGUUCGAAUCUUUCCAGAUUUUUGACACGCAACAUCCCUAACCAUGUGUUUUUACAAGAGAACACAUGGUUAAGGAUAUUACGAUCCAAAAUCACAAAGAUUUGGGGUUAAGGUUUUGGCCGGAA